CCAUAUGAACAAAUCACCCUGAAUGCACCUCAUCUCACUGAAUCUUGGAAGAUAAGCAAGGUUGUGCCUGGUUAGUACCUGAAUGCGAGACUGCCUGGGUACAGAAGCUAUUGUAGGCU
This 119-nucleotide ribosomal RNA is filed under the name Petromyzon marinus (sea lamprey). The record is from RNAcentral. Lineage: Eukaryota; Metazoa; Chordata; Hyperoartia; Petromyzontiformes; Petromyzontidae.